RNAcentral lists this long non-coding RNA (2675 nucleotides) under Macaca mulatta (Rhesus monkey). RNAcentral describes it as "lncRNA (ENSMMUG00000052917.1)". The record is from RNAcentral. Lineage: Eukaryota; Metazoa; Chordata; Mammalia; Primates; Cercopithecidae.
UAAAUUUCCAAUUGUUUGGAAUCCUUUUUUUCUUAUUCAUCUCCAGUUUUGUGCACAGAGGGUGGGUGUGGCAUUUGUGAUCUAUUAUUGUUAAUGGUCUCCAUUUAAAAUCAUUUUAUUGGCUGUGAUUUCCUUGCGAUGUGAAACCUAUUUUAAUGCAGCGUUUGCUUUUCUAGCUGCAAAAAAUUGUUUGAAGAAAGAUAAUGAGAAAUGGGGACUCUAAUUGGCCUACAGUUCGAUAGAAGAAAACUAAGUCUACCCAAACACGAUAGUAGCCACUGUUUUCUCUAAACUAGGAAAAAGCAGCAGUAGAAUUGUUGAUUAGUCUUGCAGAAGGCUAUAGUUCUCGCUGCCAUCCGGUUUUUCAGCCUAAAAAACAGGUGCUGAGCUUUGAGGAGAGUAUCAGGGUUUGGGCUCUGCUGCCUUUCCCCAAAGAACUCACUUGGGAAGCAGUCAGAUUAGAAGAUAAUUCUGAAACAAAUGCCAGCCACUCUUUAAUUACAAAAAUGACGGAUGAGCUGUAUCACCAUGUGCCUGAGAAUCAUUGUGUUUUAAAGGACUUGGAUCAUCUUCCUACUGAGACGUAAGUUCCAGGACAUCCUGACAACUGUUGAAACAUUGAUUCUGCAGAUUAGCAUAGCAAACUUAGACAUUUUCUAUGUUUUAGAUUUUAUAAAGUAGUCUUAGAAUACCACUGUUACUACUCCAAGAGGAAUUAUGAGAUCAGUUUUGACAAUCUCUGUGAAAGCGUGGCACAUCUGAUGAGGCUGUGAAUGUCACAUUCUGUUUGCCACAAUUCAGUGUAUUUAAUUAACACUUGCCGUAUGUCACGGUUGUCCCUGCAGACCCACCAGUGAUACGCAGCUAGCCCUGGCUCCCAGAAAGCCGCAGCCUUGCAGGUACAGGAGAGUGAGGUACAGGUGAGGAUCACAAUGCCUGCUCCAAGUCUGGCUCUGUUUGCAGGUGGCCCCAGCUGCUCCGUGAGCUCUGCAGUACACACUUUCCUACCCUCUUCUGCCCCAGGAUUGUGCUGGAAGUGCUGGUUGUGUUCCAAAGCAUCAGCAAGCAGUGUCACCACGUGUCUUGCCUUGGAGCUGAGACACAGGCAGUGGGUGGAGAGGAUGCUGCCGUCUCGCCAGCGGCUGAACUACCUGCGUAUGUGGAGUAGUAUCAGAAUACUGUCCCCUGUGCUCAGCCUGAUCCUGUUCCUCAUUACACUGGAGUUGGUCAACGUUCAUGCUGUUCAUGGGAAGAAUGCACGUGAGUAUCAGCAGUACCUAAAGUGAGUAUGUUCCACUUCUCUGUAGUCGCAUUGCAUCGUGGGCCAGAUUGGGGGUGAGCCUGUAGGAGUGAGACUGGGGCAGCAUGAGGGCCACCAUCUCCUUGGUGGCCCCACCGCCGUCUCAGGCAAGGGUCUGACAACUGACCUACAAGAAGAACUCACACAAAUGUCUCAAAACCACAUUUUGUUUGUCUGUUUGUUUGUUUUUUGGAGACAGAGUUCCAUCUGAAAAAGGCAGGAAAACACAAAGGUGGGGGGCUUCCAGGUUAUAGGUGGACAAGAGACAAAGGAUUGCAUUGUUUUGAGUCUUUCAUAAGCCUUUCGGUGAAUACACAAUUGACUUGUGAGUGGGGGUAGAGGAAUAGUGACUUACUCCUUAGUGUGGCUCAGUGAAGCUGCAUUUUACACAGGGCAGAGGAAGCAAUCAUAUAGGUAUUUGUCUCAGGUGAGCUAAAGGAUGACGCCCUGUCCCAACCCUAACCCUAACCCUAACCCUAACCCCUAACCCUAACCCUAACCCUAAAACCCUAAGCCUAACCCCUAACCCUAACCCCUAACCCUAAACCUAACCCUAACCAACCCUAACUGUAACCCUAACCCUAACCACCCUAACCCUAAAACCUGACCCUGACCCUGACCCUCACCCUCACCCUGACCCUGACCCUAACCCCUAACCCUACCCCUACCCCUACCCCUGACCCUGACCCUAACCCUAAUCCUCACCCUCACCUAAUUUUUUUUUUAAUUUUUUUUUUUAAGGAAAGCUAUAGCUAUUCUGGGUUAUCAGAUUCUAGUCUUGUUUCUUGUUUUGGGGCUAUUUUUACCUCUUUGUAAACUGGAUCCUGCCAUCUGAUGAAUUUUGUCCCACAAUGAUACUUGUGGAAUAAGAAGCCAAGUAUUGUCUCUCCUACUAAUGUAUGUAUUGUCAGUUAAUUUGAAAGUCUCCAACCCUGGAACAAAGUUAGAAGAGGUAAGUUUUGCUCCCCAAAAUGCAUAACCAAACUGUGGUACAUUCAUGCAAUGGAAUACUAUUUAGCCAUAGAAAGGAACAAGCUAUCAACUCACACAAAGACAUGAGUGAAUCUUGUAUGCACAUUGCUAAGUGGAAGAAGACAGUCUGAGGAGAAUACACACAGUGUGACCUCAUUUAAUGAGACACUGCAGAAGGCAAACUACACAGAUGAGAAACCAUUGGCUCCAUGGGGUGGGGGUUUGAAGCAUUCCAUAUGAUACUUUAAUAGUGGGAUAUCUACCACAAUGCAUUGGUCAAAAUACGCAGAAUUUUACAACCAAAUGGGUAAAUCAAACUCUAUUCAAAUUAAAUAAAAUUACUCAGGAUGUGGAGUAUCCUAGAACAGAAUACAUCAUGUGAAAAAUAAUGUAACUAUGCUAC